This 512-nucleotide ribosomal RNA is filed under the name Anatolica mucronata. Its description in RNAcentral is "partial 16S ribosomal RNA". It matches the Rfam family "Bacterial large subunit ribosomal RNA", at positions 1852 to 2621 of the family's 2925-position model. Lineage: Eukaryota; Metazoa; Arthropoda; Insecta; Coleoptera; Tenebrionidae. The record is from RNAcentral.
GUCUGACCUGCCCAAUGAUUGUUUUGAAUGGCCGCAGUAUUUUGACUGUGCAAAGGUAGCAUAAUCAUUAGUUUUUUAAUUGAAAGCUGGAAUGAAUGGUUUGAUGAAAAAAUAACUGUCUCAAUAGAACUGUUUUAGAAUUUUAUUUUUGAGUCAAAAAGCUUAAAUUUAUUAGAAAGACGAGAAGACCCUAUAGAGUUUAAUAUUAAUUCAGUCAAUAAUUUUUAGGUUUUAUAUAAAUUAUUGUUGAUAUUAUUAUUUUGUUGGGGUGAUAUAAAAAUUUAAGUAACUUUUUAUUUUUUAUGACAUUUAUAUAUGAUUAUUUGAUCCUAAUUUUUGGAUAAAAAGAUUAAAUUACCUUAGGGAUAACAGCGUAAUUUCUUUGGAGAGUUCUUAUCGAUAAGGAAGUUUGCGACCUCGAUGUUGGAUUAAAAUUUAUUUUUGGUGUAGAAGCUAAAAUAUUAGGUCUGUUCGACCUUUAAAAUUUUACGUGAUCUGAGUCAAAAACCGGG